AGCAGCCGCGGUAAUUCCAGCUCCAAUAGCGUAUAUUAAAGUUGCUGCAGUUAAAAAGCUCGUAGUUGAAUUUCGGGACCAUCAUGUCGGUCGUGCCUCGGUACGUACUGGCAUUGUUGGUUUCUCCCUUCUGACGAACCAUGAUGUCAUUUAUUUGGUGUCAUGGGAAAUCAGGACUGUUACUUUGAAAAAAUUAGAGUGUUUAAAGCAGGCUCACGCUUGAAUACAUUAGCAUGGAAUAAUGAAAUAGGACGUUUGAUUCUAUUUUGUUGGUUUCUAGGAUCGACGUAAUGAUUAAUAGGGAUAGUUGGGGGCAUUAGUAUUCAAUUGUCAGAGGUGAAAUUCUUGGAUUUAUUGAAGACUAACUACUGCGAAAGCAUUUGCCAAGGAUGUUUUCAUUAAUCAAGAACGAAAGUUAGGGGAUCGAAGACGAUCAGAUACCGUCGUAGUCUUAACCAUAAACUAUGCCGACUAGGGAUCGGAU
Molecule: ribosomal RNA, 484 nt
Filed under: uncultured Glomus
Lineage: Eukaryota; Fungi; Glomeromycota; Glomeromycetes; Glomerales; Glomeraceae
Description: SSU rRNA
Rfam family: Eukaryotic small subunit ribosomal RNA
Source: RNAcentral